UAACAGAUAAAUAAUUGGAUCAAUUGCUUCAAAAAUCAAUCAUCGGUUCAUCAUGAUUAAAAAUUAACCCUUUAACUAACUUUGCUAGCACUGUGGUUUAUAAACUUAAUGCUCAUACAACCAUGCUUACAAAACAACAUUUAUAUAAACAAAUGCACAACAAGCCAACACCUAGAUCUUCACAUCAACAGAAACUAAACAAACUUGUAAUCCAAAAUACAAAAUCAAGCAUGAAGCUGAAGUUAAAGUCCACAGUUCACUUGUCAUAAAACAUCUACAAAACCUACUUUAAUGUUGACAUUAAACACUGUACUGCAAACACAAAUCUAACUUUAUAAUGUGCAAGAUGCGACCUAUUUAAGCCUAUCAUUGCAAACUAAUACACGAUAGGGAACAUCAGAAUAAAUAGAGAAAAGAAGAGAAGGAAAAAAAGAACAGGAAAAUUGAAUUAGCUACAGCUUGUAUUCCAUCAAAUUCGUUGAACUACACGAUAAACCUUAGUCAUUGUUCAUUGAGCUAAGAAGGAUACCUGGCAAACAAAGUAAGAGAGAAUUGAGAAGAUCAACAGUAUGCAGCAGCAAAUAAGCCCAGAUUUGAUCAAUCAAACAAUGAUUAGCUCAGGAAAACCAAUAGAAUAGUAGACGGAUCCCAAAACAAAACAGACUUUAAACCAAACAUAAACCACUUCCGUCACCCAACAUUCAAUUUAAGUGAUUUUCCAGUCAUUCUAAAUUUAGAUAAUGAUUUAGGGAAUUGAAACAGAAAAUCUAGACCAAUUUAAGUAACUUUCAACAUUUUUAUUGGAUUUUUUAGAAGGAAAUCAUUGAAUAUCAGCUUUAGUAUAUCUUUCUAUUUUUUGUGCUUCC
Molecule: long non-coding RNA, 866 nt
Filed under: Nicotiana benthamiana
Lineage: Eukaryota; Viridiplantae; Streptophyta; Magnoliopsida; Solanales; Solanaceae
Description: long non-coding RNA (NBEN_LNC023917)
Source: RNAcentral